GUAUUUUUAUUAUUUGUCUCAAUCUUUUACUUUUUUUUGCAUGUUAUUGCAGACUGCCAACAUGUAGCGUGCUGCCAAAUGAGCUAGCUGCAAAGAGAAGCAUAUGGAAAGCCUUGUGAAAACAGAGGGAAUAUUCUCAAGACCACAGUUUUAACAACUGUACUAACAGAAGAGAAGCAGAGAGGAAAGGCAACCUUUAAGGUGUUUGACAAACUGAGUGCCAUACAACUCUCUUUUGAAAUUACAGAGGUGCUGUGUUUGACAACUCGUAGCCUCUGGAAGAUGUUUUUUUGAAGGCAAUCUGUUCCUAUCCUUAAUUAGGUGGUGCAUUCGUCAGUGAAAAUUAUAAGCACAAGAUUCAUGUUCCCUUAAAACUAAUUAAAUAAUGACUCUGGAAAACUGUCAUUACUUUUUACUUGCCUCUGACUGACCUGGAUCAAUUCUAAGUGUUUCUUCUCUUCUCUUUAUUUUCAAGCACAAAGUUGACCUCUAAUAUAAUUCAUCCACAUGUAUAAGACUCUUCUACUCACCACUUUCUUUCCUACCACCUUUUUGGCUCUGAAACUGCCAAAAUCUGUCCUAGCAGAGAUACUGAGGUAGCAAAUAUGAAACAAGUCUCACUGUUUUCCUUGCUACUAUGAGAUUUGACUGUCUCCUGUCUGCCACCUUUAUUCCUU
Molecule: long non-coding RNA, 677 nt
Filed under: Numida meleagris (helmeted guineafowl)
Lineage: Eukaryota; Metazoa; Chordata; Aves; Galliformes; Numididae
Description: lncRNA (ENSNMEG00000010311.1)
Source: RNAcentral